AUAACUUCGGGAAACCGGACCUAAUACCGGAUAACAUAUUGAACCGCAUGGUUCAAUAGUGAAAGGCGGCUUUGCUGUCACUUAUAGAUGGAUCCGCGCCGUAUUAGCUAGUUGGUAAGGUAACGGCUUACCAAGGCAACGAUACGUAGCCGACCUGAGAGGGUGAUCGGCCACACUGGAACUGAGACACGGUCCAGACUCCUACGGGAGGCAGCAGUAGGGAAUCUUCCGCAAUGGGCGAAAGCCUGACGGAGCAACGCCGCGUGAGUGAUGAAGGUCUUCGGAUCGUAAAACUCUGUUAUCAGGGAAGAACAAAUGUGUAAGUAACUGUGCACAUCUUGACGGUACCUGAUCAGAAAGCCACGGCUAACUACGUGCCAGCAGCCGCGGUAAUACGUAGGUGGCAAGCGUUAUCCGGAAUUAUUGGGCGUAAAGCGCGCGUAGGCGGUUUUUUAAGUCUGAUGUGAAAGCCCACGGCUCAACCGUGGAGGGUCAUUGGAAACUGGAAAACUUGAGUGCAGAAGAGGAAAGUGGAAUUCCAUGUGUAGCGGUGAAAUGCGCAGAGAUAUGGAGGAACACCAGUGGCGAAGGCGACUUUCUGGUCUGUAACUGACGCUGAUGUGCGAAAGCGUGGGGAUCAAACAGGAUUAGAUACCUGGUAGUCCACGCCGUAAACGAUGAGUGCUAAGUGUUAGGGGGUUUCCGCCCCUUAGUGCUGCAGCUAACGCAUUAAGCACUCCGCCUGGGGAGUACGACCGCAAGGUUGAAACUCAAAGGAAUUGACGGGGACCCGCACAAGCGGUGGAGCAUGUGGUUUAAUUCGAAGCAACGCGAAGAACCUUACCAAAUCUUGACAUCCUUUGACCGCUCUAGAGAUAGAGUCUUCCCCUUCGGGGGACAAAGUGACAGGUGGUGCAUGGUUGUCGUCAGCUCGUGUCGUGAGAUGUUGGGUUAAGUCCCGCAACGAGCGCAACCCUUAAGCUUAGUUGCCAUCAUUAAGUUGGGCACUCUAAGUUGACUGCCGGUGACAAACCGGAGGAAGGUGGGGAUGACGUCAAAUCAUCAUGCCCCUUAUGAUUUGGGCUACACACGUGCUACAAUGGACAAUACAAAGGGCAGCUAAACCGCGAGGUCAAGCAAAUCCCAUAAAGUUGUUCUCAGUUCGGAUUGUAGUCUGCAACUCGACUACAUGAAGCUGGAAUCGCUAGUAAUCGUAGAUCAGCAUAUACGGUGAAUACGUUCCCGGGUCUUGUACCCACGUCCCGUCACGUAGAGUAUAAUCCGGGUCAA
Molecule: ribosomal RNA, 1290 nt
Filed under: Staphylococcus sp. MUI28
Lineage: Bacteria; Bacillati; Bacillota; Bacilli; Caryophanales; Staphylococcaceae
Description: bacterial SSU rRNA
Rfam family: Bacterial small subunit ribosomal RNA
Source: RNAcentral